GUAGGGGGCAAGCGUUGUCCGGAUUUAUUGGGCGUAAAGAGCGUGUAGGCGGCCAGGUAGGUCGGUUGUGAAAACUAGAGGCUUAACCUCAAGACGUCGACCGAAACCAUCUGGCUAGAGUCCGGAAGAGGAGAGUGGAAUUCCUGGUGUAGCGGUGAAAUGCGCAGAUAUCAGGAAGAACACCCGUGGCGAAGGCGGCUCUCUGGGACGGUACUGACGCUGAGACGCGAAAGCGUGGGGAGCGAACAGGAUUAGAUACCCUGGUAGUCCACGCCGUAAACGAUGAGUGCUAGGUGUGGGGGGUGUCGACUCCCUCCGUGCCGAAGCUAACGCAUUAAGCACUCCGCCUGGGGAGUACGGCCGCAAGGCUAAA
RNAcentral lists this ribosomal RNA (373 nucleotides) under uncultured bacterium. RNAcentral's name for it is "bacterial SSU rRNA". It matches the Rfam family "Bacterial small subunit ribosomal RNA", at positions 527 to 898 of the family's 1533-position model. The record is from RNAcentral.